Molecule: long non-coding RNA, 476 nt
Organism: Tribolium madens (black flour beetle)
Lineage: Eukaryota; Metazoa; Arthropoda; Insecta; Coleoptera; Tenebrionidae
Exons: 3
Source: RefSeq, a predicted model, not a curated record
AAAUUCCUGGAAUUUGAGGUAAAAUUGAUUUUUGUACUAAUCUACGAUAAUAAUUGCUAAUUGUUUAGAAUGAGUUUCCACAAACGAACUUGUUUUGCUGUGGUGGGCUUCCCAUUUAAAUCUGGGCCUCUCUUUCGGUUUCCGCGUCCGAAAAAAGAGCCACUUUUUGCCAGACUAAAUUAAGAGCUCCAGUGUGUUCAAAAGUCUGUUCCCCAACUCAUUGCGUUCUGUUAAUAUUUGUCAAGAAACAUACACGUAAGAAUGUAACAGUGAGGAGUUCCGGAAACAUGUGUCGUCGGUGUCGGUACCAAAAGUCAGAUGAAAAUUGAUUUUUCACCAGAAGUUAGCAAUCCCACUAUUGAUCUGUCUUUUUCCACAACACAAAAAGAAGAUGUAGAAUUAUCGAAAAUGUGGUUUUAUAGUCCACGAAAAAGAGUGACUCCAGUGGAAGGUAUAAAUAAAUACAUACAGGGAAC